UACGUAUGGUGCAAGCGUUAUCCGGAUUUACUGGGUGUAAAGGGAGCGCAGGCGGCACGGCAAGCCUGAUGUGAAAGCCCGCGGCCCAACCGCGGGACUGCCCUUGGAACUGCAUGGCUGGAGUGCGGGAGGGGCAGGCGGAAUUCCUGGUGUAGCGGUGAAAUGCGUAGAUAUCAGGAGGAACACCGGCGGCGAAGGCGGCCUGCUGGACCGCGACUGACGUUGAGGCUCGAAAGCGUGGGGAGCGAACAGG
RNAcentral lists this ribosomal RNA (253 nucleotides) under uncultured bacterium. RNAcentral describes it as "partial 16S ribosomal RNA". It matches the Rfam family "Bacterial small subunit ribosomal RNA", at positions 524 to 776 of the family's 1533-position model. The record is from RNAcentral.